UACGUAGGUGGCAAGCGUUGUCCGGAAUUAUUGGGCGUAAAGCGCGCGCAGGUGGUUUCUUAAGUCUGAUGUGAAAGCCCACGGCUCAACCGUGGAGGGUCAUUGGAAACUGGGGAACUUGAGUGCAGAAGAGGAAAGUGGAAUUCCAAGUGUAGCGGUGAAAUGCGUAGAGAUUUGGAGGAACACCAGUGGCGAAGGCGACUUUCUGGUCUGUAACUGACGCUGAGGCGCGAAAGCGUGGGGAGCGAACAGG
RNAcentral lists this ribosomal RNA (253 nucleotides) under uncultured bacterium. RNAcentral describes it as "partial 16S ribosomal RNA". It matches the Rfam family "Bacterial small subunit ribosomal RNA", at positions 524 to 776 of the family's 1533-position model. The record is from RNAcentral.